ACCAGCAGAACCCACAGAGACCCGUUAGAACCAGCAGAACCCACAGAGACCCGUUAGAACCAGCAGAACCCACAGAGACCCGUUAGAACCAGCAGAACCCACAGAGACCCGUUAGAACCCGCAGAGACCCGUUAGAACCCGCAGAGACCCGUUAGAACCAGCAGAACCCACAGAGACCCGUUAGAACCAGCAGAGACCCGUUAGAACCCACAGAGACCCGUUAGAAUCCAGCAGAACCAGCAGAGACCCGUUAGAACCAGCAGAACCCACAGAGACCCGUUAGAACCCGCAGAGACCCGUUAGAACCCACAGAGACCCGUUAGAACCCACAGAGACCCGUUAGAACCCACAGAGACCCGUUAGAACCCACAGAGACCCGUUAGAAUCCAGCAGAACCAGCAGAGACCCGUUAGAACCAGCAGAACCCACAGAGACCCGUUAGAACCAGCAGAACCCACAGAGACCCGUUAGAACCAGCAGAACCCACAGAGACUCGUUAGAACCAGCAGAGACCCGUUAGAAUCCAGCAGAACCCACAGAGACCCGUUAGAACCAGCAGAACCCACAGAGACCCGUUAGAACCAGCAGAGACCCGUUAGAACCAGCAGAGACCCGUUAGAACCAGCAGAACCCACAGAGACCCGUUAGAACCAUCAGAGACCCGUUAGAACCAUCAGAGACCCGUUAGAAUCCAGCAGAACCCACAGAGACCCGUUAGAACCAUCAGAGACCCGUUAGAAUCCAGCAGAACCCACAGAGACCCGUUAGAACCAGCAGAACCCACAGAGACCCGUUAGAACCAUCAGAGACCCGUUAGAAUCCAGCAGAACCCGCAGAGACCCGUUAGAAUCCAGCAGAACCCACAGAGACCCGUUAGAACCAGCAGAGACCCGUUAGAACCAGCAGAGACCCGUUAGAACCAUCAGAGACCCGUUAGAAUCCAGCAGAACCCACAGAGACCCGUUAGAACCAGCAGAACCCACAGAGACCCGUUAGAACCAUCAGAGACCCGUUAGAAUCCAGCAGAACCAGCAGAGACCCGUUAGAAUCCAGCAGAACCCACAGAGACCCGUUAGAACCAGCAGAGACCCGUUAGAACCAGCAGAGACCCGUUAGAAUCCAGCAGAACCCACAGAGACCCGUUAGAACCAUCAGAGACCCGUUAGAAUCCAGCAGAACCCACAGAGACCCGUUAGAACCAGCAGAACCCACAGAGACCCGUUAGAACCAUCAGAGACCCGUUAGAAUCCAGCAGAACCCGCAGAGACCCGUUAGAAUCCAGCAGAACCAGCAGAGACCCGUUAGAACCAUCAGAGACCCGUUAGAAUCCAGCAGAACCCACAGAGACCCGUUAGAACCAGCAGAGACCCGUUAGAACCAGCAGAGACCCGUUAGAACCAGCAGAGACCCGUUAGAACCAUCAGAGACCCGUUAGAAUCCAGCAGAACCCACAGAGACCCGUUAGAACCAGCAGAGACCCCAGAGACCCGUUAGAACCAGCAGAACCCACAGAGACCCGUUAGAACCAGCAGAACCAGCAGAGACCCGUUAGAACCAGCAGAGACCCGUUAGAACCAGCAGAACCCACAGAGACCCGUUAGAACCAGCAGAGACCCGUUAGAACCAGCAGAGACCCGUUAGAACCAGCAGAGACCCGUUAGAACCAGCAGAACCCACAGAGACUCGUUAGAACCAGCAGAACCAGCAGAGACCCGUUAGAACCAGCAGAGACCCGUUAGAACCAGCAGAGACCCGUUAGAAUCCAGCAGAACCCACAGAGACUCGUUAGAACCAGCAGAGACCCGUUAGAAUCCAGCAGAACCAGCAGAGACCCGUUAGAACCAGCAGAACCAGCAGAGACCCGUUAGAACCAUCAGAGACCCGUUAGAAUCCAGCAGAACCCACAGAGACCCGUUAGAACCAGCAGAACCCACAGAGACCCGUUAGAACCAUCAGAGACCCGUUAGAACCAGCAGAGACCCGUUAGAACCAUCAGAACCCACAGAGACCCGUUAGAACCCAACAGAACCCACAGAGACCCGUUAGAACCAGCAGAACCCACAGAGACCCGUUAGAACCAGCAGAACCCACAGAGACCCGUUAGAACCCAACAGAACCCACAGAGACCCGUUAGAACCCAACAGAACCCACAGAGACCCGUUAGAACCAGCAGAACCCACAGAGACCCGUUAGAACCAGCAGAACCCACAGAGACCCGUUAGAACCCAACAGAACCCACAGAGACCCGUUAGAACCAUCAGAGACCCGUUAGAACCAGCAGAACCCGCAGAGACCCGUUAGAACCAGCAGAACCCACAGAGACCCGUUAGAACCCAACAGAACCCACAGAGACCCGUUAGAACCAUCAGAGACCCGUUAGAACCAGCAGAACC
Molecule: long non-coding RNA, 2393 nt
Organism: Acanthochromis polyacanthus (spiny chromis)
Lineage: Eukaryota; Metazoa; Chordata; Actinopteri; Pomacentridae
Exons: 2
Source: RefSeq, a predicted model, not a curated record